UUCAAUGUUCAUGAUGAAAAUGCAUAAUCCCAGCUCUAUGAGGCCUUGUUAUCAAAGGUCAGUGAAUAAGACUGUUUCCAACAUUUAUCUGAGCAACUAAA
This is a small nucleolar RNA of Pistacia vera, 101 nucleotides long. NCBI's taxonomy places the organism in Eukaryota, Viridiplantae, Streptophyta, Magnoliopsida, Sapindales, Anacardiaceae. The record is from RefSeq and is a predicted model, not a curated record.